UACGUAGGGGGCAAGGGUUGUUCGGAUUUACUGGGCGUAAAGGGCGCGUAGGCGGCGCGUAAAGUCUGGCAUGAAAUCAUUGGGCUUAACCCAAUGGCUGUGCCCGAUACUUGCGUGCUUAGAGUGCGGGAGAGGCAAUCGGACUUCUCGGUGUAGCGGUGAAAUGCGUAGAUAUCGAGAGGAACUCCAGGGACGAAGGUGGGUUGCUGGACCGACACUGACGCUGAGGCGCGAAAGCUUGGGGAGCAAACGGG
This 254-nucleotide ribosomal RNA is filed under the name uncultured bacterium. RNAcentral describes it as "partial 16S ribosomal RNA". It matches the Rfam family "Bacterial small subunit ribosomal RNA", at positions 524 to 776 of the family's 1533-position model. The record is from RNAcentral.